AGUGUGGUUGUCUAUUUAUUCUUAGCUAGAUACUAUUUGCUUAUCAUUUCCUUCUUUCCUACUACUAUUGUACAUUUUAUAUCUCUUUCUUCACUAUGCUAUCGUACAUGAACUAGCUACUUAUGGAACUACUACUACUAUUGUACAAUUUUACAGAUCAUAGUAGGAGUUCUUGUUGUUGACGUGUGCAUCAUGCAGAGUAGCCAUGGAUCAGAGGUUUUGGACUAUGAAUCGGCUUAUCUAUUGGUGAUUUAUUAUUGGUGCUAUCAUGACUUGAGAAAUUGGAUCGUGACAAUUGAUUAUACAAAUACUAAUUGCCGGGACGAAACUCUUCCAAGUAUAUGGCUUUAGACUGGAAAAAUAUUCUAUCAACCGUGUUUCAUUCUAUUUUUUUAAUUAUUUUUUUUGUAAGUUACGCAUGCCA
Molecule: long non-coding RNA, 424 nt
Organism: Capsicum annuum
Lineage: Eukaryota; Viridiplantae; Streptophyta; Magnoliopsida; Solanales; Solanaceae
Exons: 3
Source: RefSeq, a predicted model, not a curated record